AAGAUGUAAUCCAACACUUUUGUAUCAAGCAAAAAUACAAAGUUCUCUCUUGCAUAAAUAAUUCUCCUACCCACUAAAUUUUUAUUCAAAUCUCUAAUAUUCCCACACACUUUUUCUAAACACAAAAGGUCUAUUUCCAACAAAAAUAAACUAACAAUGGUUAAUGGGGAUUAAUCAUUAUCAACGAACAUGUUAUGGGCUAUAGGGUAUGAGCUGCAUUGAGGUGUGAAUUGGGAAAUGCUUUCUCGAGCCAAGAGGCCUAAAUCUCCUAACCUCACAUCCGGAUUCACAUGCCCAAGCCAAAACCUCACACCGAAAUCUCAUGUUCAGACAAACACUAUCAGCUUGUACAAAAAAUCCUCUCACCAACCGUUAACACGAAAUCACAAAGGAAUUGUUCAAAGAAAUCACUUCAAGAUCUUGCUUCAAUCUCGCGUGAAGACCAGGAACAUCAACGAGCAAGCACGAAUCAGAUUUCUCCCUCCGAUUUGAAACCGGAAUUGAAACCGUUUGCGCACGGAAUGGAAAAAAUUGAAGGAAGCAGAACCUACCGGAUUCAACGGGGGCUAAGAGUGAGGCGUUUAGAUCCUCUUCUUCGUUUAUGCUUCAUUGUUGUUGUUCGUCAAUUAUGUCACGUUGUUGUGUGUGUUGCGAGUCGGUGUGGUGUGCGUAGUAUGUUGAGAAGAAGAGUGUUGCAUUGUUGAUGACGAAUGGUGAAAGGUUGCGGAUGGAAUUGUGCCCAGUGAAUCUUCGUUCUCCCUGAAUUGCAGUGAAUGGUUCUCUCUUUGCUAUUCUUCCGUUUCUGUUUCUGUUUUCUCGGUUAGCUUCCUUUUUUUUCUCUUCUUCAGUAUUCUGUUUCUGAAUUCUGCGGAGUUAUAUGGAUCUUGGUCAAGGGUUGCUACCUGAUGAUGGAGGGAUUGAAGGGUUGUUAGAAGAUGGUGAUUUCAGGUUCCGUUAGAAGGGGUUGUUGGAGUGUGUUUCCAUUCUGUUAGAAUUUUCUUUGAAGCUCUUUUUUGUUGUUGUCUUCUUCAGUUGCAGUGUGGUUAGAAGGGUUAUAUGGAUUGAGUAUGGUGAGGUUGAGGUCGAAGAAGAGGGUUGGUUAGUUGUUGUAGAAGUGGUUCUGUUAGAAGGAAGUUGUUGGAAGGGGUGAAGAAGUUUCUUGAGGAGGGUGAUGAAGGGUGAGGAAGAACUGUUUUUUAUGCAGUAGGUUGAAGGAUUGUGGUUAGAGUUGGAGAGGGAUUGGAGUCUGUUAUGAAAUGUGAUUCCGCUGGCCCCUUGGUUCUGUUAUGAGGUCUUGGUUUUUAAUGAAUUUUGUUACGAGAGGUUUUGGUUUCCAUUCUUGCAGGUCAUGGAUGGCCAUGAAAUUUUGUUAUGACGCUGAUUUUUGGUGCUUCUAUUUCUGCCGGUUAUGUUAAUUCUUUUAUAGGAAAUAUUAAGUAUCAUGUUCAUGCUUGUAAUAUGGAUGAUAUUUGGCCUAAGUUGAGGGUUAGAACCAAGACAUAUAAGUUGCAUAUCACUCUUGAUGACAUGGGAACAUGAUGAAGGCAACAUCACUCUUAAAGAUCCAAAUCAAAGUAGGAACUAGGUUUAGGGAUAGGUGGGUUGAGUGCACUUUGAUGUAAUCGAUUGGUUUGGAAAGAUGUAAUUUGAACCAUGGAAAUUGAACUUUGACUUUGGGAAAAUGUUGGUUUAAUGGUUCGUGAAGGAAUUUGGUUUAUGAA
Molecule: RNA transcript, 1721 nt
Organism: Lathyrus oleraceus (garden pea)
Lineage: Eukaryota; Viridiplantae; Streptophyta; Magnoliopsida; Fabales; Fabaceae
Exons: 2
Source: RefSeq, a predicted model, not a curated record